This 253-nucleotide ribosomal RNA is filed under the name uncultured bacterium. Its description in RNAcentral is "partial 16S ribosomal RNA". It matches the Rfam family "Bacterial small subunit ribosomal RNA", at positions 524 to 776 of the family's 1533-position model. The record is from RNAcentral.
UACGUAGGGGGCUAGCGUUGCUCGGAAUUACUGGGCGUAAAGGGUGCGUAGGCGGACAGUUUAGUCAGAGGUGAAAGCCCAGGGCUCAACCUUGGAAUUGCCUUUGAUACUGACUGUCUUGAGUACGGGAGAGGUGUGUGGAACUCCGAGUGUGGAGGUGAAAUUCGUAGAUAUUCGGAAGAACACCAGUGGCGAAGGCGACCCACUGGCCCGUUACUGACGCUGAGGCUCUAAAGCGUGGGGAGCAAACAGG